GACACGACUCUCGGCAAUGGAUAUCUCGGCUCUCGCAUCGAUGAAGAGCGCAGCGAAAUGCGAUACGUGGUGCGAAUUGCAGAAUCCCGCGAACCAUCGAGUCUUUGAACGCAAGUUGCGCCCGAGGCCAACCGGCCGAGGGCACGUCCGCCUGGGCGUCAAGCGUUGCGUCGCU
This 175-nucleotide ribosomal RNA is filed under the name Jumellea arborescens. RNAcentral's name for it is "5.8S ribosomal RNA". The stretch from base 6 to 161 matches the Rfam family "5.8S ribosomal RNA". Rfam says of the family: 5.8S ribosomal RNA (5.8S rRNA) is a component of the large subunit of the eukaryotic ribosome. It is transcribed by RNA polymerase I as part of the 45S precursor that also contains 18S and 28S rRNA. Lineage: Eukaryota; Viridiplantae; Streptophyta; Magnoliopsida; Asparagales; Orchidaceae. The record is from RNAcentral.